RNAcentral lists this ribosomal RNA (426 nucleotides) under uncultured bacterium. RNAcentral's name for it is "partial 16S ribosomal RNA". It matches the Rfam family "Bacterial small subunit ribosomal RNA", at positions 354 to 796 of the family's 1533-position model. The record is from RNAcentral.
GUGAGGAAUUUUCCGCAAUGGGCGAAAGCCUGACGGAGCAAUGCCGCGUGAAGGAUGAAGGCCUAUGGGUUGUAAACUUCUUUUCUCAGAAAAGAAUUAUGACGGUAUCUGAGGAAUAAGCAUCGGCUAACUCUGUGCCAGCAGCCGCGGUAAGACAGAGGAUGCAAGCGUUAUCCGGAAUGAUUGGGCGUAAAGCGUCUGUAGGUUGUUUAAAAAGUAUUCUGUCAAAGAUUAGGCCUUAACCCUAGAUAGGCAGAAUAAACUUUUAAGAUAGAGGUUGGUAGAGGCAGAGGGAAUGCCCGGUGGAGCGGUGAAAUGCGUAGAUAUCGGGAGGAACACCAAAGGCGAAGGCACUCUGCUGGGCCAAUACUAACACUGAGAGACGAAAGCGAGGGGAGCAAAUGGGAUUAGAAACCCUUGUAGUCC